Molecule: non-coding RNA, 282 nt
Organism: Cinara cedri
Lineage: Eukaryota; Metazoa; Arthropoda; Insecta; Hemiptera; Aphididae
Source: the annotation of a GenBank genome assembly
GCUAUCGCGCGGCGACCGGCGGUUUUGCGGUCCGUCGGACGCCAUUAUUAGAAAUCGUGGCCCGUUGGUGUCGCGUUAUUGACGAGUGUCCGAAGGUUCGCGUUAUUUUUACCAAAAUAAAAUAACAAUUUUUACUUUUUUUUCUCACUGGUCGACAAAUUGUCUAAACUCUUCGCGAUCCGUGUCUAUUUUAUGCAUGCAGUAGAAAGUAUUUAGCAAAUAUUUCCAAAGGGAAAAAUUCAAUUCUCAAACCUGCAGAGGGAUAUACACCCUUCCCUCAUC